UAGAGUUUGAUCCUGGCUCAGGAUGAACGCUGGCGGCGUGCCUAACACAUGCAAGUCGAACGGGGAUCUAGAGGAAAAGGUACUUGUACCUCGGAAUUUAGAUUCUAGUGGCGGACGGGUGAGUAACACGUGAGCAACCUGCCUUGAUCAGGGGGAUAACAACGGGAAACCGUUACUAAUGCCGCAUAAUAUGCCGUUGGGGCAUCCCAGUGGCAUCAAAGGAGUAAUCCGGAUUGAGAUGGGCUCGCGUCCGAUUAGUUAGUUGGUGAGGUACGGCUCACCAAGACCGCGAUCNGUA
Molecule: ribosomal RNA, 298 nt
Filed under: uncultured bacterium
Lineage: Bacteria
Description: partial 16S ribosomal RNA
Rfam family: Bacterial small subunit ribosomal RNA
Source: RNAcentral